AGAGUUUGAUCCUGGCUCAGAUUGAACGCUGGCGGAAUGCUUUACACAUGCAAGUCGAGCGGCAGCGCGGGGCAACCUGGCGGCGAGCGGCGAACGGGUGAGUAAUGCAUCGGAACAUGUCCAUGUCGUGGGGGAUAGCCCGGCGAAAGCCGGAUUAAUACCGCAUAAGCUCGAGAGAGGAAAGCCGGGGACCGCAAGGCCUGGCGCGAUUGGGUUGGCCGAUGUCCGAUUAGCUAGUUGGUGAGGUAAAGGCUUACCAAGGCGAUGAUCGGUAGCUGGUCUGAGAGGAUGAUCAGCCACACUGGGACUGAGACACGGCCCAGACUCCUACGGGAGGCAGCAGUGGGGAAUUUUGGACAAUGGGGGCAACCCUGAUCCAGCCAUUCCGCGUGAGUGAAGAAGGCCUUCGGGUUGUAAAGCUCUUUUGUCCGGAGCGAAACGGUGCUGGUGAAUAUCCAGCGCUACUGACGGUACCGGAAGAAUAAGCACCGGCUAACUACGUGCCAGCAGCCGCGGUAAUACGUAGGGUGCGAGCGUUAAUCGGAAUUACUGGGCGUAAAGCGUGCGCAGGCGGUUUUGCAAGCCAGUCGUGAAAUCCCCGGGCUCAACCUGGGAAUGGCGAUUGGGACUGCAAGGCUUGAGUAUGGCAGAGGAGACUGGAAUUCCUGGUGUAGCAGUGAAAUGCGUAGAUAUCAGGAGGAAUACCGAUGGCGAAGGCAGGUCUCUGGGCUGAUACUGACGCUCAUGCACGAAAGCGUGGGGAGCAAACAGUAUUAGAUACCCUGGUAGUCCACGCCCUAAACGAUGUCGACUGGUUGUUGGGGGUUUGACACCUUCAGUAACGAAGCUAACGCGUGAAGUCGACCGCCUGGGGAGUACGGCCGCAAGGUUAAAACUCAAAGGAAUUGACGGGGACCCGCACAAGCGGUGGAUUAUGUGGAUUAAUUCGAUGCAACGCGAAAAACCUUACCUACCCUUGACAUGUCCUGGAGCCCGGAGAGAUCCGGGUGUGCCCGAAGGGAACGGGAACACAGGUGCUGCAUGGCUGUCGUCAGCUCGUGUCGUGAGAUGUUGGGUUAAGUCCCGCAACGAGCGCAACCCUUGCCAUUAGUUGCUACAUUCAGUUGGGCACUCUAAUGGGACUGCCGGUGACAAACCGGAGGAAGGUGGGGAUGACGUCAAGUCCUCAUGGCCCUUAUGGGUAGGGCUUCACACGUAAUACAAUGGUCGGUACAGAGGGUUGCCAAAGCGCGAGCUGGAGCCAAUCCCAGAAAGCCGAUCGUAGUCCGGAUUGCAGUCUGCAACUCGACUGCAUGAAGUCGGAAUCGCUAGUAAUCGCGGAUCAGCAUGUCGCGGUGAAUACGUUCCCGGGUCUUGUACACACCGCCCGUCACACCAUGGGAGCGGGUUUCACCAGAAGCCGGUAGCCUAACCGCAAGGAAGGCGCCGACCACGGUGAGAUUCGUGACUGGGGUGAAGUCGGAACAAGGUA
This 1492-nucleotide ribosomal RNA is filed under the name metagenome. RNAcentral describes it as "bacterial SSU rRNA". It matches the Rfam family "Bacterial small subunit ribosomal RNA". The record is from RNAcentral.